UUAUUGACAGAACAUGUCUUUAUUAACGCCGUCUGAGAGAUUCUUCAAUUAUUUGAUUGACACAUUGAAAAAAUACUGGUACUUGGUGUGUUACGAGAAUGCUAUUAAAACACAAAAUUACAGUCCACUAUAUUAUUGUUGCGAGGCGCUUUAUAUCCGGUGCUCUGUAUCCGGCAGGCGAUAUGCCCCGCUAGAAAUCGUUCAUUGGCUCGAUACGCUCGCUUCAUUUUACCGCCAGGCAGAAAGCAAAUCGCCGCUCGUGAACCUAAUUACUAUUAUGCAACCUGCACCGAUAGAGACCGAUCGCGGGACUUUAUGCCAUGAUGAAGUUGAUCAUUAUUUACGCAUACAAACGCGUCUCGCCUCAAUUAUUGUGACAUUUGCAUGCCAUAAAUUAUGCGGUCGGACAAAUUAGUAGCGACAGACCGGUCCGAUACAUUUUUAUACAGCAAACAAUGAUAAGUGAGUAUUUUUCGAUUUUACAUCUUCUACAUUAUUGCAGCUCUAUUAAUUAUUUUAAAAUUGUUCAUCCAAUAAUCAAGGGAUGCACUGCAAACG
This is a long non-coding RNA of Wyeomyia smithii (pitcher-plant mosquito), 558 nucleotides long. RefSeq lists it as uncharacterized. The record is from RefSeq and is a predicted model, not a curated record. The transcript has 3 exons. Lineage: Eukaryota; Metazoa; Arthropoda; Insecta; Diptera; Culicidae.